GAUGAACGCUGGCGGCGUGCUUAACACAUGCAAGUCGAACGGUGAAGGCGGAGCUUGCUCUGCUGGAUCAGUGGCGAUCGGGUGAGUAACACGUGUGCAAUCUGCCCUUGACUCUGGGAUAAGCGCUGGAAACGGCGCCUAAUACUGGAUACGAGCUGCGAAGGCAUCUUCAGCAGCUGGAAAUAAUUUCGGUCAGGGAUGAGCUCGCGGCCUAUCAGCUUGUUGGUGGGGUAAUGGCUCACCAAGGCGUCGACGGGUAGCCGGCCUGAGAGGGUGACCGGCCACACUGGGACUGAGACACGGCCCAGACUCCUACGGGAGGCAGCAGUGGGGAAUAUUACACAAUGGGCGAGAGCCUGAUGCAGCAACGCCGCGUGAGGGAAGACGGCCUUCGGGUUGUAAACCUCUUUUAGCAGGGAAGAAGCGAAAGUGACGGUACCUGCAGAAAAAGCGCCGGCUAACUACGUG
RNAcentral lists this ribosomal RNA (468 nucleotides) under uncultured bacterium. RNAcentral describes it as "partial 16S ribosomal RNA". It matches the Rfam family "Bacterial small subunit ribosomal RNA", at positions 28 to 507 of the family's 1533-position model. The record is from RNAcentral.